UACGGGGGGAGCAAGCGUUGUUCGGAUUUACUGGGCGUAAAGGGCGCGUAGGCGGCCAGCACAAGUCAGUUGUGAAAUCUCCGAGCUUAACUCGGAAAGGUCAACUGAUACUGUGCGGCUAGAGUGCGGAAGGGGCAACUGGAAUUCUCGGUGUAGCGGUGAAAUGCGUAGAUAUCAGGAGGAACACCGAUGGCGAAGGCAGGUCUCUGGGCUGACACUGACGCUCAUGCACGAAAGCGUGGGGAGCAAACAGG
Molecule: ribosomal RNA, 254 nt
Filed under: uncultured bacterium
Lineage: Bacteria
Description: partial 16S ribosomal RNA
Rfam family: Bacterial small subunit ribosomal RNA
Source: RNAcentral